RNAcentral lists this long non-coding RNA (392 nucleotides) under Mytilus galloprovincialis (Mediterranean mussel). Lineage: Eukaryota; Metazoa; Mollusca; Bivalvia; Mytilida; Mytilidae. The record is from RNAcentral.
UGAUGGUUGCUUAAUGUCGAGUGGUCAAUAUUACCUUGUGCUAGAUUGACUGAUUUUUGUUUGUUAUAAUAAAUAACUUGUUUGCUUAUUGUCUAGUGUCAUAUAUUACUGUUAGUAUGAUCAAUUGUUGUUUGCUUCACGUCAAAUGGUCAGUAUUAUACUGUAAGAUUGACUGAUUGUUGGUUGCUUAAUGUCCAAUAAGAACUAAAAGUGUUUUAUUGACUGAAGGUUUAACGUCCAGUGGCAUAUAUUACAGUAAGAUUGAUUGUUGGUUGCUUAACAUCCAGUGGCAAACAUGUCAGUGUUAGAUUGACUGAUUGUUGUUUGCUAAACCUCCUGUGGCAAAUAUUACUUGAUGUAAGACGGAAGGGGACCAGCAUGCAUUUAAAAUC